RNAcentral lists this ribosomal RNA (254 nucleotides) under uncultured microorganism. RNAcentral describes it as "partial 16S ribosomal RNA". It matches the Rfam family "Archaeal small subunit ribosomal RNA", at positions 474 to 727 of the family's 1478-position model. The record is from RNAcentral.
CACCGGCGGCUCGAGUGGUGGCCACUUUUAUUUGGUCUAAAGCGUCCGGAGCCGGCUUGGCAAGUCCCCUGGGAAAUCUGGCGGCUUAACCGUCAGGCGUCCAGAGGAUACUGCCAGGCUUGGGACCGGGAGAGGUGAGAGGUACCUCAGGGGUAGGGGUGAAAUCUUGUGAUCCCUGAGGGACCACCAGUGGCGAAGGCGUCUCACUAGAACGGGUCCGACGGUCAGGGACGAAAGCUGGGGGCACGAACCGG